Molecule: long non-coding RNA, 855 nt
Organism: Rhineura floridana
Lineage: Eukaryota; Metazoa; Chordata; Lepidosauria; Squamata; Rhineuridae
Exons: 2
Source: RefSeq, a predicted model, not a curated record
CCAUUCACCUACUCGUUGCCAAGAAUUCGCUUCUCAUUUUGAGAAUAAAGUCACUCAGAUUCGUUCCGACCUGGACGCCAACAUCGACGUAGUCGGGAAGAUUGCACCUUUGGACUCUGUUAGUCCUAUUCAGUUAGAUUCUUUUCAGCCUCUUCAUUUUGAAGACAGAGACAAGAUCCUCGGUGAAAUGAGACCUACCACCUGCUCACUUGAUCCUUGUCCUUCUUGGAUCAUAAAGCAAGAUAGCCGGGACGAGGUCCAGAACAUCCAAGAAGCACGCACAGCAGGAUCUUGGUAGGCAUGACUUUAUGGAAUCAUAUGGCUUCCUUUAUGGAAUCAAUCCAUGUCUUGUUUGGCCUUCCUAUUUUUCUACCAGUUGUUUACCGGGCCCAAUUCAAGGUGUUGGUGUUGACCUUUAAAACCCUAUACGGUUUCGGCCCAGUAUAUCUGAAGGAACGCCUCCAGAAUCACCGAUUGUGCCGCCUGACGAGAUCAGCCUGGCAAGACCUUCUCUCGGUCCCACCGGUGAGAACAGCUAGGCUGGUACGGACCAGAGAGAGGGCAUUCUCUGUUGUGGCCCCCACCCUCUGGAACUCCCUCCCUUUCGAUCUCAGACAUGCUCCCUCCUUGUCCAGCUAUCGCCGAGCCUUGAAGACCUGGCUGUUCAGGCAGGCCUACAAGAUUGAGACAGAUUAGUUUUAUGUUAGAAUUGAAUUAACAGAUGAUUUCUUUAGUUUAAAAUUUGAUUAUGUUGAUGUAUAUGUAUUGCUUUUAUUCUUGUUGUUCGUCGCCUAGAGUGUCCCUAACCCGGACAGAUAGGCGGCUGAAAAAUAAAAUUUAUUAUUAUUAUUAUUA